GCAAACUUCUAAUUUUCCGAAUCCUGCUGUUCAGCCACCCGGAGUGAGUUCUGUACCGCCCGCGAUGAAUCCGGCACCUACCGGAGCUGUUCCUAUGACUUCGACGCAGCAAAUUAUGCCGCCUUAUGCUAUGCAUGGACAACUGAUGAGACCGUACGCUCCUAUGCCUAAUGGUUACCCUGCUAUGCAUCAACAGGGCGCCAUGCCUCCUCCCGGUGGGUUUUUGUUUCUCUCUAUGUACAGUUACUUGGAUAUUUAUGCCUAUUUAGUACAUGUUUCCCUACUGACAGUGAAAUGAUAGACUGGCACAAUGUAUAGUUUAAAAAUUAUCAGAGUUAGUCCUGCAUUUAUAUACUUUAGUUGCAGUAAAUGCAAUGAUAUUGAACGGCAAAGUCUCUGCCUUUACUAAUAAUUAAUCUCUGAGGAAUGUUUUUUCAUAAAUAGGGGCUUACACAGAAAUUUUUAUGAGCUGUGUCUAAAUUUAUAAAAGAAUGAGAAUAAUAACUUUAGUUAUCAUAUUUCUAAACAAGAAAUCUUAGUCUAUUGAUUUUGUUGAGUCUUAAGUUAGAAAAGGUUCCGAGUUCAAUUCUACUUCAUCACAAUUUUUAACCACAUAGGCUCUCUCAAUUUUUUUUUAAAAAAAAGUGCUAGUUGAGGUUUGAACUUUUGACCUCUUUUAGAGCAAAAUCAAGCACAUAACCAACACGCCAAGAGACAAUUUUUGUCAAAUUGUGUAAUUUUUUCCUACUUAUCCGUUUCCUCACAGUAUUGAUACAUAUACUUAGUAAAAUUUUCCAACGAAGCGGUGUUGCGUGACACCACUUCGUUAAAGUUGAAUCCGCCCCUGUUCUUAAGGGAUCUCUUAGGAAAGUUAGUAUCUUUAGCGCUAGAUGCUGCAAUACUGGUGGCUUAAAUAUUAGCUUUGAUAAUGUUUGUGAUUUAGAAAUUAAUCUGUUGAGGCUGAACCACUGCAAAAUGUUAUCCAUAAAUAUCCUUUUCAAGGGCACUAGUAGAAUUACUGAAGGCAUAUCUCUGAUUACCAUUUGAACCUUGCAUUGUUUAAUAGUGAGUAACAAUGGUCAACGUACUUUAUCUGUUGCUUUAUUGUGUUGAUAUUGAGAGGGGAAUAAUAUGGAUGAGAGGAGUUUGCCUGUAGAAUUGUAUUAAAAACGGAUAAGGGGUAUCGAUGACUGGAUGUUUUCUCCUACAGUUUCUUGAAUGGUUUCCGUGAGAAAGGUGGGAAGGCUUCAUAUUGCAGUUCAUUAGAGACUACUGAGUACUCCAACUGCUUUUUUGGUAUGAGCACGUCUGUUUGGUUUUGUUUUCAUUUCAUUUAUCAUUACAAGGCCAUUUGCUUUUAAACACAUCUAUUUUGUGUAAACACCGGAAGUGAAGCUUUCUCACCAUGGGCAUAUUACUUUUCUAUGUUAUGUAAUGUCUGGAUAUGCAUGUCCUACUGUAGACUUACUUUUAGUAAUAAGGGUACUACCCCUUUGUUGGGAUCUUGAUUCUUGAAAUGCUGGCAGCAGAACUUGUUAACAACUGAAUUCAAGUUGCCUAUACGGCAUACGCCAAGGUAUCACAAUCUUUUCAUUUUAUCUGCAUGUGCUGUAUUUCUGGCUAUUUUAUUUUUUGCUGUACAUGAUGAUGUUAAUGGUUAACAUGUGGAAAGAUUGUCUAAAAAUAUGUUAUCAUGUUAUCAAUUGCGUUAUUGAUGAUGAGACGCUGGGAGUCUCAUCUCAAUGUAUUCAAACCUCGCAAAUCUCCAGUCCCUAUAAUACGUCCUCCAAUUAUUCCGCCUGUUGCUAGGCCAGCUGCCAUCCCAAGCAUUGCUCAAACAGAGGAACCACAAACAACAGUUUAUGUUGGCAAGAUAUCGUCCACUGCAGAAAAUGAGUUUAUGCUUUCUCUUUUGCAGGUGAGUGAAUUUACAUAUUGACAUUUCAAUUACUUUUUGGGGAGUGGAGCUUUGUUCAUUUUUGCGUUUCUCACUUGUUUGUGUUCACAAUGAAUCCUUUUCCUGCCUUGCAAAUCCCAGUAUAUAUAUGGGUGUUUGUGAUCUCUAAAUUUAACUGAUCUUUCUGCUGUAUGAUUUGUAAAGCUCUGCGGGCCUGUUAGGAGUUGGAAGCGCGCUCAAGAUCCGACAAAUGGAUCUCUGAAAGGUUUUGGGUUUUGUGAGUUUGAGUCUGCUGAAGGGGUUCUCCGUGCAUUGAGAUUGCUCAACAAAUUAAACAUUGACGGGCAGGAGCUGAUGGUAUAGUUCUGUCUUUUCCCUCUCUGUCUCUCAAUCAACUGUCUAAAAUAAAUAAAUAGGAUUUUUUCAUUUUUAUCUGUGCAUUUUAGUACAAUUAUUUUGCAGCAUGAACAUGUCAUGAAUGAUGAAAUUAAUUUAUGAUAAGUUAUCGUUCCAUCUGACAGUGAGUGCCUUUGCAGCUCAUCUGUCUACUAAAUAUUUUCAGCAUCUUUCCCCAGUGUUUGGCAAAUAUGAACAUUUGUUCUCUGUGCAUGUUUUAUGACCAAGUCAUAAAAUAGGCUUAGAUGGGCUCUCCUCCAAUUCAUGUUACACCCUUAGCUUAUUAGGGGGAAGUGAAAUUUCAACUUCUAAUCUUGGUUAUACUUGGUAUCGUUGCAGUUAAAUGUCAAUCAAGCAACUCGUGAUUACCUUGAACAUUAUGUUGAGAAGAAAGUAGUAGAAACCUUAAAGAAGCCCAAAGAAUCUGAAACUGAAGGCGCCGAGAAAGAAGAAAGUGCAUCAGGUGGGGAAAAGAAUGAAAGUGCAAAGACUUCUAUAGAACCUCCUGAGUCCACUACAGAAGAAUCAAAGAAAGAUGGUGGUGAGAAAGGGAAUUUUGAUGCUGCUAAUUUCGGUCUGGUCAAUGAUGAAGAUAGGCAAGCUGACAAGGAGGCUGUGGAGAAGCUCAAGGAUAUGCUAGAGGAAAGGCUGAAGAAUAAACCAUUACCACCUCCACCUCCACCUCCACAAACAGCUAAAGAUGGUUCUGAUAACUCAAAUACGGAAAACCCCAAAGAUGGGGAAGCAGAUAGAGAUACCGCAAAAAUUGGUUAGUUUAUCGGACCGCUAAAAUGCCGCCUUUUUUUUCUUUUGAAGAUUUUCUUUAUUGCCUAGAUGUUAUAAAAAAAUAUUAGUGCUUUAGUCUUAAUGCUUUUCUGACACGUUUCAAUAUGAUUUUGGAAACAAUGCAGAAGACAAAAAUGAUGAUGAAUUGAUCAGUCAAAGUAAAACAUCAAGUGAGCAUGACAAGGCUGAUAUUAGCUCACCUGACCAUCGUAGGCAUGAUAGGAGAAGUAGGGAUCGAGAGAGGGAUUUGAAGAGGGAAAAGGAAAGGGAACUCGAAAGGUAUGAGAGAGAACGUGAACAAGAACGAGCCAAGAGAGAGAAGGAGAGAGAUUACAAGAUCCGCGAAGAUGAGCGAANNNNNNNNNNNNNNNAAGAGAAGAGAAGAUGAGGAACAGCAGAAAAAAGAGCAGGAGGAGGCAUUGAAAAUCCUUUCCGGUCAUCUGGCUAAUGGACGCGAGAAAGCUGUUUCCUAUGAGGAGAGCAACCUUGAAAGCCAAGAUAAGAAUAUUGAGACAGCUCAUGAUAAUUUAAGUCAGGGUAACUAUUUUAGUUUAUUCUUCUUUAGAUUUUAUUGCUAUGACUUCUGCUCUAUCUUUCUAUUUGGUUUUGACAUUCAAAUAACAGGUGAAGGAGUUGUGCAAAAUGGGACUGAUGAAGAAUCCGUAUUGGCAGCUACUGCUUCAUCAGAUAUGAAGCAUAAUAGCAAUGCCCCAGCGAAAAGAUUGGGAUUUGGCCUCCUAGGGUCGGGGAAAAGAGCUGCUGUCCCUUCUGUUUUCAACGCAGAUGAGGAUGAGGAUACUCAAAAAGAAAAGAAGAUGAGGCCAUUGGUUCCAAUUGACUACUCCAUUGAUGAGCGACAUAUGGUCCAACCUUCUAUCUCUGAAUCACCA
Molecule: long non-coding RNA, 3969 nt
Filed under: Nicotiana tabacum (common tobacco)
Lineage: Eukaryota; Viridiplantae; Streptophyta; Magnoliopsida; Solanales; Solanaceae
Description: long non-coding RNA (NTAB_LNC009041)
Source: RNAcentral